Long non-coding RNA from Arabidopsis thaliana (thale cress), 253 nucleotides. RefSeq annotates it as other RNA. Lineage: Eukaryota; Viridiplantae; Streptophyta; Magnoliopsida; Brassicales; Brassicaceae. The record is from RefSeq. The transcript has a single exon.
UAUAAUCACAAAUGAUAGUUUUUUAAAAAAACAAGAUAAUAUGAGAAAGAAUUUUUUUUUGAUAAAGUAAACACUAAAACUAAAGUUGGCGAUAACUUUGGUGUUUACGAUCUCACCACCAAAAUUUGCACUACCUUCUACACAGAAGACGAAGUUUCAAUAAGAAACUUGGACUUCCCUUACUGGCCUCCUCCAAUUCCUCACUACUAGCUCCUAAUUAAUUAACCUUGCUCUUGCCGUGUGUUUGCUUUCU